Molecule: long non-coding RNA, 11652 nt
Filed under: Equus asinus (donkey)
Lineage: Eukaryota; Metazoa; Chordata; Mammalia; Perissodactyla; Equidae
Description: lncRNA (ENSEASG00005036331.1)
Source: RNAcentral
GUUUUCUAUAAUAAAUAUGGAUUAUUUGGCUAAGGUUUAUAACUAAUUAAUUGUUGUAAUAAUUAUUAUAAUUAUUACUUAAUAAGUAAUUAUAAAAGAAAUCAUAUCUCCUACGGUACUGCAGAAAUUGGAAUAGCGCUUAUGGAAAGUAAAAAAACCCCAAGCUGCAAGGAAAAAUUGUUUAUUAGUGCAUGCUAUCCUAUCUUAAUAACUGAUCCAGCAAAACAAUAUUAUAGAAACUCGUUAAAGGACAGAAUACUAUAGCAUUAAUAGGUAUAGAGUUUAUAGAAUGCAUCUAACUAUUUAUAUUCUAUUUGUUCUUAAGGGAAAUUAAAGAAAUAUUAUUGUAGAUAGAAAAGUAUAUUGUUAAUAUUCUCCAUAACUGAAUGGCCAAGCUAUGACAAAGGGGUAAUGAAUAUGAUGUGGUGUGGUGGCUUUCCAUGUAAGAAUUAACCUUUUUAAAGCAGUUUUACUCUCAUUUAUUUAGUCUUCACCAUACAGACAGCUGACAGUGAGGAAUUCACACUGAUGUGGGAGGUGUCACUGAGGAGAUGAAAUUUGAGUUGCUCCUUAAAGAAUGAGUAAGAUUUGCUAGGUGAAGAUUGGUGAAAUGGCUUUGCAGACAGACAGAAUAGCGACAGCGAAACAACAGGCGAAGUGUGAGAUGUGUCAUGGGAACACUAGUUACUCAGAUGUGUGAGUAUGUGUGUGUGUGGGUAGGUUUGUGUCAUGGGGUCCAUAUGAGGGGGUGUGGAAGGAGCUAAGUCAGUGCAAACUUUUAGCUCUGCAAGUUACAAAAUGUAAGAGGCUAAAAAAUGACCUGAAAUCUGAAAAUCACAAUUCCUAAAGUAAAGGUAGAUCGUUUCUGUCAUUUAAAAUGUGUGGCAGGAAGAAAAGCAGCAUUUAUUGAGCUCCUGUUAUAUGACUUUAUAUCUAUUGUUGCAUUUAACCCUUAGAUCAGCUCUUUAAGAGGCUGAUUACUCUCAAUUUACAUGUGAGGAAAUGCAAGCUACAGAAAUUACCCUAGAAAGAUGAAGCCCAGCAGCAGGAUUCAAUCCAGGUUCAUCCAACUCCUCAGAUGGUAUUCUUUCCAUCACACCAUGCGGUCUCUCUGAAAUACCUAAGUCAUUCUCGUAUUACAACAAACAGUGGGACACCUCCCCACACAGACCACUCUCACCACCACCACCAAAUAGCUCAGCAUAUUUGGAGACAAAAACAAAGGAAGAGAAAUGAAAUAUGCAUGUGAAAACUUUAUAGAUUAUUCUGCCCUAUUCAGCAGCCAUUAUGGGAUUGUUACUUGAUAUGAAUGUAGAGAUUUGCUACUUCGAAAGCCUUAAAGUUUCCCUAUUGUGGCCCACAGCUCUCUGGAUAUGGCAGUAUUUCUUGAACUAGCAAAAAAAGCUUAUUUUCUUCAGUAUGUGAAUCCACAUAAAGGUAUUUAUCCUAAACAGCUACUUCCUCCUUUACCAUGGACUGAUUUGGGAUUCAGCUUUGUUGCGAUGCCACAGGUGUUUUAGAUUUUGAUGGCCGCUUCCAAGUGUGGGUCUGAUGAGCUCUCCGCAUGCGCUGCCUGCCUGGGUGAGCGCUGGCCAGGCUGAGUAGGCUCAUUCAUCCAGGAGAUGGCCCUGCAGCUGAAAAGAGGUGAGGCACACUGCCUUGUCGCUUGAGUUUGCUUGUUUUCCUUCUAUGCUCUCUGCCAUGAGCCUUGAUAAGAAAGAUGAAUGCCAGCAUCUGCCAAGAUAUUAAGAUACAGAUCCUGCUUCUUCAGUUGACUAGAUUAACAUAUUAAACAGCCUAUUCUCUUAAGAUGUUUCCAGCUAAAAUUAGUUUUUCCUUUCUCAUCGUGCUAGUUGUGAUUUCAUGGGGUUAUUUUUUCUCCAGGCAGUGCUUCCUUAAGUCUUUCUCUGCUCCAGUCAUCUUCCACACUGCUGACAGACUGCUCUGUUGUAAAGGAAAAUCUCAUUGUGUUAUCCCCUUACUUAAAAUUGGUGCAGAGUAAACUCAUCCUUCAAUACUCAGGCUGUGCUUUGUCCCCCAGGAGGAGAUGACUACUUUCUGGUCCAGCUGAGCCCUGCAUGUACCUCUCACAUGGUAUCUACCCACGGUAUUUGCAGUUCUGUGUUCCUUGUCUGGUUCUCUUUCUGGUUGAUGCUUGAGUUCAGGGACUCUGUCUUUUUCACUAUUUUAUCAUAAGAAUUUCAUAUAUAGUGAUCCCAUCAUAUGUGCAAAUAAAACAUUAGCUGAAAAUAUUAAAUGAAUUAAUUAAAAGUAAAUGAAUGAUUAAGAGUUGUGAAACCUCAGUUGAAUGUAAGGGUGGAGAAGUCGGAAAGGCAGCAUAUCUAACUGCCAUCUUUAGCAUCUGAUAAAGGUUAAUGAAAAUGGCUGAGGUUUCCUUAAAAUGACAUGUAGCUAGUAGCUUUUAAAACAGUCUUUGUUUAUAGAAAAUUCUUGGUGUUUAUUUGAAUUUUUGGUGUUUAUUUGAAUUCAUGGACUAUCUCAGGAGUUGUCAGCCUACAAGUGUGUAAAGAUUGCUUUAUGGUGAUAAAAUGAGUACAGGAUGAGACCUAAGAAAAUGCAGAAUUAAUGGAGAAAAUGGUGUGUUUUUAGUUCCUCUUUACUCUAGAGCUUUGUGGAAAGAUCAUCCCAUUAUAUGGAUAAUACUUAGGAUUUUAAGAAAAAUCCUUCUUUCCAAAAAAAUGUGAAAACAUCACUUUUCUAGCCUUGCAUCCUUUUCCCAAGAAAUUCUGGCUCAUUUAUUCCUUUCCUUUGAGAUGCAGAUCCAUCUGUCCCGCUUGCCCACUUGACUUCUCUUCUGUGUUUCAAUCUAAUAACAAAAACUAGCGAUUUAACUCCCCAAAUGAUCCUCUUCCAGUUUCUUUAUCUUAGAAGGAAGCUGCUCCACUCAGCAAUUAACCCAAAACCUUAUGAAUUAACCUUGGUUCUUCUUACUUUCUUACCUCCACAUCUAAUCCAGAACCUCCUAAAUACCUACGAAACAUGUCUUAAAUAUUUCCUCCUUCUACUACCACCACCAUCUUAGUACCAGCUGCCAUGACCUAUUGCCUAGGAGAGAGCACUAAAAAACAGGGCCUUCUUCCUGAUUGAUGGCUUCAUCUUUGGACCCUCUCCAAUUCCUUGUGUAUGCUCCAGCAGAGCUAUCUUUCUGAAGUGCAAACUGGAUUAUGCCAUCUUCCUUCUUAAAACCCUGUAGUGGUUUUAAUUAUUUUAAGGUUUAAAAAUAAAUUAUUAAACCAGGUUACAAGGCCUUGAGUGGUCUGGCCUAUCUCCCUCUCCAACAGUUCCCUCAUCCCACUCUCUCUUCGGCAGCAUCAUUGGCUUUCUUUCAGUUUCUCACGUUUGCCAAGGUCUCUCCCUCCCACUUUGGACCUUUGCACUUGCUCUUCUCCUGUGUGGAAAACUCUUCUGUCUCCUAGUUAUCCAAUAAACUUUCAUUCUUUCUUCAAAUUUCAGCUUAGCCUCCCAUGACCAUGAUUUUUUACCCACUCUUGUAGCACCAUGCAACUCUUUUUUGAGGUACUAACCUUAAUUGUAAUAUUAGAUUUGUUUAAUUAGUAAAUAGUCUCCUUUCCUGGGCUCUAAGCUCUUUGAGGACAGGGACCACAUCUGGUUUUGUUCCCUAAUGCUUCUCCAGAGCUUAGCCCAAUACUCAGCAGGUACUGUGUUGUUAACAUUUAUUGAAUGAUAAUAGGCAUAUUAGCAUGUAUUGACAUUAUGGAUAAUCAUUUUUUGAGUAAUGAUAAAUAUUCAAAGAAAGACAAGCAGUAUUUAACAUAAGUGCACUAGAUAUAUCUAUCUUAACUACUGUUAUUGAUCAUAUGUGAGGGUGUCAAUGUGCUUCUUGCAUUCUUAAAAACCACUUUGCAGACUACAUAUUUGAAUUAUUAGGCUUGUGUCAAGACAUAUAAGGCUUAAAAUGUGUUUUUGUCUAUCUCAAAUCACUCUACAUUUUCAGUUUCUCAGAACUGAAAGCUGUUUCUCAGAAUUAUCACUCACUGGGCACAAUGGUUUCAGUAAAGGGAGCCGGUGUGGCAUGAGCUGGAGAUUUAGAACCAAACGUAUUUGGCUUUGAAUUCUAGCUCCGCUAUGCAUUACACGUGUAAUGUUGGGCAAAUGAGUUCAUCUCUCUGAGCGUUAGCUUUAUCAUCUGUAAAUUGGGUUUUGUAAUACCUACCUCCUGGGAUUAUUUUAUGGCUUAGGAAUUUAACGUAUAUGAUUACAGUUCUUCCUAUUUAAAGGUGCUUCAUCGUUCUUGCUUCCUGUACCUUCCUCCCAGGUAGUCUGCAUAGUUUGAAAGACACACCAAUUAGAUUCCUAUCCCUUCCGCAUGUUCCAUCUAAAUGGAGAAUAUGCUUUAAAAAUUGAACUUUAACUGAGAGGGAGCUAGAGAAAAAGGAUGGAAGGAGGAAAAAUAUGCCACUCAGUUGCCAUGGUACACCCAGGUUAAAGAAACCCGGGUUUAUAAAUGAGCAGAACGAAGAAAGUAAGUGUCGUUAGCUUUUGAUGUAGUGUUGCUUGAUUUCAGAUUGCUUUUAAUUUAAGUUAUUCAUAGUAUCUCUUCUUUCGGAGUAACUAGUUGUGUUUAUCUGCUUCUUAGCAGGAAGGUGUUAGAAGAGGUCAUCGAGAGGAUGUGAGUGCUGGUUGACCCGAGAACUGGACCAGGGCAUUUGGAGGCUCUUCACCUUCUCCCCUGUCCUUGGAAUGUAUGUUCUGUCCACGGUUCCUACAGUAGGAGCUAUUUUCAAGGACACAGCCUUGAGAGAGCAGUGUGUUGUUGAGACCAUCUUGAUUGAAAAUGUGACCAAAACCGGUUAAGGCCUCUGUAUAAAAUUGUAAGAUUUGGCAGGUGGGUGUGGAGAUCUGCUUGUCUGUGGCCAGCCAAGAUAAGCCUUCUCUGGGAGUUCCCUGUCAUUUUAAACCUGUCACCUACUGAGCUAGAGUGGUCUGCCUCUUUCUUUGGUCUGUCCUAGCUCUCCGCAUAGAGGGACCAGUUUCAAAUUUCCCCUGGGAAGCUCCUGAGUUUGUGAACCAACAGAAGGAUGUUCUCGUGUUUUGUGCUAAAUUCCUUUCAGUACACUCUUUUAACUUCACCUAGUUUAGAAGGAAAAGAUGAAGUGGAUACUGUAAACAUAGUAAUCAAGUUAACUCAGACUUUGGUUUACAAUUACAAAUUUGGCUAAUGACUGUCUGAGGGUGUUCUUAGAUGGUGAAGAUACUGAGGUAUUCUUGACAUCCCUAAUUUUACUAAAAAAUUAUGCAGCUAGAGGCCCCCUGAUGGCCUAGUGGUUAAAAUUUGACACCGUCUGCUUAGGCAGCCGGUUCACUUCCUGGUUGCGGAAACACGCUGCCUUUCUGUCAGUUGCCAUGCUGUGGCAGCCGCUCACAUAGAAGAACUAAAAGGACUUACAAAUAGAAUAUACAACCAUGCACUGGAGAUUUGGGGAGAAAAAAAAAGGGAGGAAGAUUGGCAACAGAUUUUAACUCAGAGCAAAUCUUUCCCUGCCAAAAAAAAAAAAAAUCUCUCUAUAUAAUACAUGUAUAUAUAUUAUGCAGCUAAAAAUAAUGUAAUCAAUCAUUUGGCUAUCAUUACCUUUAGGAAAGACUGUGCCAAAACCACCUCAGCAGAAGGAUAGUCUGGCUCAUUGCUUCUAAAAUACUGUAUAUCAAAGAUAACAUUUGUCAAUCAAGCCUGGUGAGCUUUGCCCUUUUUGUAUUUUCUUUUCAGAAAUAACCAUUGUAUUUUGAUACCUAUUUUUUAGGAAGUAACUAUGAAAUAUUGUAGAUAAAUUUAUUAGUAAAGAGGGAGCAUAAGACUAUUUGCCAACCAAUCACAAAUAUAAGAAUUAAUGAAGUAGUGCCCCUCUGUCUUCAAAGGAGAGAUAAUUAGUAAGUAUGAAGUCAGCGGAAGAUAAAGGCAUUGCCCUUUGACCUCAUGUUCCCACUGCACUAUUUUAUUUUUAUACAUAAUUAAGGGAUGGAUGUAAUUUCCACAUCUAAAUAAUACCGAUGUGUGCUUUAAAGAUGUGUCAAUGGCCUGUAAAAGUCUCUCUUCACAGGCAUUAAUCUCUACAAAUUCUUCCUUGAUUAACAUGCUACGAUAAUAAUAAUGCAUAUGGUUAACAAUUAUUUAAUGCUUAUUAUGUACCAGAUACUAUGAUAAUUAUUUUACAUACCUAAUUCUCAUAACAUUUCACUGAGGUAGGUAUUUAUAAGCUGUGUUUCCUAAAUGAGAAAAAUGAAACUUGAAAAUCUUGGGUAACUUUCUCAAGAUCUCUGCAGCUUAGCAUGUGAUGGAGGUGUGUUUUGAGUCCAAGUUUACAUCUGAUUCUGAAGCUUUUGAUCUUGGCCACUAGUCAGAAAUUAGCAGAGAAAAGCUGAUGGGGGCCCAAUGUGUGAUUGUUUUUGGUAAAACCAUUCUUUUAUGUAUUUCUGUGACCAUUUGAUUAACACAAGCAACAUGGUGUAGUAAGCUAUUUAUCUCUGUGUUUUCCUUGAAAGCUUUUAGGUGCGACCCUUUCUGCUGAUGAGUGCCACUGGGGGUAAAUAAUAGCCUAUGAGAUUACUCAAGUGCUUUGUUGCCAUGGAGCUGAUAAAAUGCCCAGGCUAAGAGAAAUUGGGAUCUGUGAAAACUGAUGCUGCUACAUAAAUUAAACCAGUCACUCAUUAAUGCAACAAAGCAUUAGGAAACUAUUAUAUUCCAAGUAAGAUUUUAGGUUUAAAAACACAAAAAUGAUUGGCGUAAAUUCUCUGUCCUUUACAAGCUCAUAUUCUAGUGUGUAUGGCAAGAGAGGAAUUGGAAGGUAUGUAAAUUAAUAAUUGCAAUAAGAAGAUACAUUCCAUAUUAAAGGCAUGGAACAAGGUACUCAGGGCACACAUUGAAGGGAGUGUUUGGUUAGAGUUUCAAGGAAUUAUUCUAGGGAAAGUUAUAGUUGAGUGUGAGAUGGAGUCCUUCCGGUGACAUGGAGAGGUGCGAGGGGCUAGGCAUUACAGAAAGAGGAACUGAUGUGUGCAACGGCAUCUGGCAACUGCAAGUAGUUUGGUGUGGCUGGAUUGUAAGGAUCAAAAUACCCACUAAUGCACACCUUGGAUUGUUCUGCCUUAAACAUCACACCUGCUAUGCCCUGCCUCUCUCUUUCUUUCAUCCUCCUACUCCCUUCCCUGCUGUUUGUAGGAUUGUGGGAGCUGCCUAAUUGGAAAUCUGUAAGAAGGGUCAACAGGCUGGAAAUUCAGCUAAGAGUUGAUGGUGUGGUAUUGAUCUGAAAUCUGCAGGGCAGGCCAUCAGGUGGGUCUCUUUGUUGCAGUCUUGACUCCAAAUUGCUUCUUCCUGGGGAAAUCUGUCUUUGAUCUUGAAGCCCUCAACUCAUUGGUGGAGGCUCACCUGCAUUGUGCAGGGUAAUCUAUUUACUCAAAGUUUAUUGAUUGUAAAUGUUAAUCACAUCUAAAAAUAUCAUCACAGCAACAUCUAGAGGUGUUUGACCAAACAUUGGGCACCCUAGCCUAGCCAAGUUGACACUUAAAAUUAACCCUCACACCCGAAGAACCAGUUUCUUCUUCCUCGAUGUGUUGCUGCAUUUUUUCUUGCUGACAUUGAACCUGUUUUAUAUAGACAGAGAGCAUAGAUCACUUACAGCCCAGGUGAAAGGGAAUCUAAGAAAUAUAAUCUUUAGCUUUCCAGUCUUUAAAGAAUCAGGAAGGCAAACUAGAAGUGAGUUGGAAUGGGUGUUGAGUGAACUAAGCACCCUUUUGGCUACUCAGCAUCCAUUCAAACUCUUCCCACACCUAAACUUUCAAACAAGAGCAAGAACAACAUAAAAGCAAGAACAAUAUGCUUAAUAUAAUUCAACUAUCUUUGUUUUUUUCAUGAGCAAGAUUGGCCCUGAGUGAACAUGCAUGUCAGUUGUCCUCUAUUUUGUAUGUGGUACAGCUCCACAGCGUGGCCCAGUGUAGACUGUGUAGGUCUGCGCCUGGGAUCUGAACGCUUGAACCCUGGGCCAUCAAAGCGGAACAUGUGAACUUAACCAUUAUGCCACUGGACUGGCCCUGUAGCUAUCUUUUGCUCAAAUGGAGACUUAUUUUCUCCUCAAAAGGGAGGUCCAGGGGCUGGCCUGGUGGUGUAGUGGUUGAAUUCAUGCACUACAGAUUAAAUUAUGUCAUUACCAGCAAAGAAUUGAGCCUAUAUAAAUUAGCAGGAGAAAGACAAAUAGAAAAAACGGAAGUUCUCUCUCCCUCUCUCUCUCUAGCUCACUAUCAUUCUCUCUCUCUUUAGGAAGAAAUUACUUACCCAUAGUCCUCAUUCUGCAACUUUUCAUGAGGCUUUAGUUAAUAUUUCUAACUAGUCAUAAGUCUGUUAGUCUAUAUAUACUUUUGGAAUCAAAUAAGUUGUGAUAUACAACAUUCCUGUUAUUAUUUAUCCCAAAGCAUUUUUAAAUUUCUGUGAACAUUUUUUUUGAGCCAUGAUGUGUUUAGAAGUGAUUUUUAAAAAUUCUCCAAGUAUAUGUGGAUUUUAAUUUACCUUUUUAAUACUGAUUAAUUGCAUUGUGGUUAGAAAACAUGGUUGGCAGCAUAUUUUAAAAUUUUUUACAUGUUAAUUUUUUUACAUUAUAUUAUACAUUGUAUCUAUGUAACCUGUUGAUAACUGAGAGAAACAUGUUGAAAAGUCUCACUAUGACCAUGGAUUUGUCAAAUUUCCAUAUAGCUCACCCAACUUUUGAUUUACAUGUUUUGAAGUUACUUUCUUUUGAAUUGUUAUAUCUUCUUAGUGAAUUUAAAAUUUUAUCAUUAUGUAGUGACUCUCUGUAUUUCUUAGUGGUUUUCCAAUGUUUUGAUUUCUAACACCCUUCCUACAUUCUUGUAUACAGGGAAGAAUGCUGCUUUCUUGGGGGGAAUCAAUUCCACACGAUUUCAGUGGGACAGACUAUACGUUCACCCUGUCUCACCGUUUUCAAGGCCAACUUGUGUUUUCUUCCUAGAUUCUUAAAAAAUUUCUCUGCACUCUUAAAUAUUCAGAUUUGCCUUAGUGUGUUUAUUGCUGUUUGCAACGCAUUUAUUUCUCUGUAGGUAUUAUUUUGGUCUUUAAUUUGUUUUCUCAGUUCUACUGAGUCUCACUGAUUCUUUUGUUUCUUGAUCUCAUCCUUGAAGUCUUCUUUCAUCAAAUUAGUGUUUUUGUUUGUUUUUUUAAAAAUUCUUCUAUUGUAUAAGACACUUGUAGGAAAAGUUCUAUUUUCUUUCCUAAGAUUGCUUCCACAUGAGGCUCUACAUUCAUCUUUUAAAUAAUAUGUUUCUUUAUUCCUACUUUUUCUUUUGUGUGUGCUGACAUUUUUGGAAUUGAGGCUUUGCCAUUUCUUUUUUUUUUUCAUAUUCAUUUACAACACAAAGAGCCUUAUUAAGAUCUUCCUUCAGCUUUGAUAUGAAGUGGGUGUCUGUCCAUUUUUCUGUAAUUGUGCCGGUUUGGGGCUCAUAUCCAUCUUCUCUGUCAGAAAGCUUCAAGCUUCCCUAUCUUUUCCCGAUGCAGAAUGCAGCCAUGAACCUUAGCUGCUACAGAGAAAGUCGGGGCCAGGCCUAUAUUUCUCUUCCUCAUCAUUUCUCGUUAAAAUCUGAUUCACUCCCCUACAGUUCACAGAAGGGAAAAUGUUAACUGACAUUUAUAUGUCUUGUUCCUGGACUUACUGCAGGGAGAGAUGGAGCAGGGAGACUCCCUCCUUGGGGGUCUUUGUUUACCCCUAUCCCGUUCCUCGUAAUCCCCUGCUCACCAGCCAGAAUUUAACUUCCUGAGAAGAUUUUCUCAUACCUACGUUUGCUUUGUUAAUUUACUUUUAUCUUGAGCUUUCCCCUACUUAAUAAAGUCAACGUGACAGCCCCUGAUAGAUUUUUCUCUCUUAUUAGGGAAGUACUUGAUAAAAUCACUUAUGUUGAACAUGAAUAUGAGAAAAAUUCUUGAGGGUUUCCUUCGUCAUUUGUCUGGGUUUCUCAUAUACCCUUUCAUCUGCUUUUCACCCCAAAUUAGUUGGAGGUGUGGUUUAAAUGAGUUUUUAUUGAGUGUGAUCUAUUUUUUUUAAUGUUUUAAUUUUUUAUUUAAUUUUAUUUUUUUGAGGAAGAUUGGCCCUGAGCUAACAUCCGUGCCCAUCUUCUUGUACUUUAUAGGUGGGACGCCUACCACAGCAUGGCGUGCCAAGUGGUGCCAUGUCUGCACCCGGAUCUGAACCAAUGAACCCCAGGCCACCAAAGCGGAAUAUGCACACUCAACCACCGUGCCACCAGGCCCACCCCACCCUGACCUCCCAUCUUAGAAAUUCGGGGAUCGAAGUAAACCCAUUUUAUUAAUCCCCUCCUAGGGGAGAAGCAUAGACCAUCUGACUCCUCCGUUUAUAAAUAGCUGUGCACACAGGAAGACGUAGCGGGCUGGAACCUCCACUAGCCGUUACAGUUAAGGGUUUAAAGAAACUGCGGUUCUUCCUUUUGAUCAUUGCCACCUAUCUUUAAAGAAAAUGACAUUAUUUUAACAUGUUAACUAAUUGAGAAAAAUGUGUUCCCCAAGCAUUGCUUACAAAAUAUGUUGAUGAUUUAAAAAUGUAAGUAAAUAUCAACAAAGCAGCAGAAUACACAGCAUGAAAUAAUCAAAAUUAAAAUACAUUAAAACUUCUGCUUUCUGCAACAAGGGCCAAUGAUAUUAAUAACAAUGUUGCGAAAAAAAAGUCUGGAAUAUGGUGGAAAAGAAAAUAAACCUAAGGAGGGUAAGACUGAAAUAAAAUAACCCCAGAGACCAUUACAUGGUUAAGCAAUUAAGUGAUUUCUCAUUGCUGGGAGAUAAGUAAUUUUAUUUUAAUUUUUUAUUAACUGUAAUCCAUUUUCAAAGUGAUUUGGAUUUAGGUCAACAUAAAAUACAGUAUACUUUUCAGUGUUUCUUAAAUGCAUGUUAGAAUAACUUACUUCUUAAAUAAACUAAUUAAUGCAUAAUAAUAUUUCCCCUCUUGCAUUCUUAUGAACUUUUCCUCUUAUUAUUCGUCACGGAACUGUUUUGCCUCUCUGUCCCAUACCCUUUCUGAAUGUUUGUGCUAAAGGAGUACAUUUAAUAUAUUUGAUAUUGUUACUCUGAGAAAUUAGAGUUAAAGUAAACACAUCAUUGGUCGUUGUAAUUCAUCGAAUGUUACAGACAGCAGGAGUUAGAGUAUGAGUAGUCGCCCAAGCGUGGUCUACUAAAGAGCUGAGGGAGCCAGGGCCCCUGUGGGCUGGAGUUUGGGGAAAGGAAAAAUGGAUCUUGAUCUUUCUGCUUCUAAAGUCUUUCGUCAAAGUCUUUCAGUUAUUGAUUCUUAAUCAUGUGCCAGGCCUAACUAGAAUGGAACACUUUGCAGCACUUUAAAAUCUAAAUGUGAUUAUAUGUAAAUUGAUGAACCACAUUUUCUUUGGUCCUGGUUGGCUUUUACUGUCAUAUUCUGUAAGAUGUCACGUAGCUAUUGUCGGAUAUUUAAAAAGUGGGAAGACUUCUCUUGAAAUUCAUUUCCUAGUAAUAAAAAUUACUUCUUGAAAAUCAAAUUGUUUCAAAAUUAUGUUCACACCUUAAAUUGAUCCUAUUUAAUGUUUGGAGGUGAGGUGAAAAUCUUAUUUUUUAUUUGCAUAUGUUGAUGUAUGCUACUG